AAAAACAAGUCUAUGUGGAGGUGUACAUAGUUUAGUCUGCUCACUGAAUUAAAUUUAAAGAGCCGCAGUAUUUUGACUGUGCGAAGGUAGCAUAAUAGAUUGUCUUUUAAAUGGAGGCUAGAAUGAACGGUUGGACAAAGUAUCAUCUGUUUCUUUAAUAAUUAUUGAAUUUGACUUUUAAGUGAAAAGGCUUAAAUAAAUCAAAAAGACGAUAAGACCCUAUAAAUCUUUACAAAAGAUCCAACAUAAGUUUUUAGCUGGGUGUUUAAUAAAACAUAAGGUGGAGUUUUGUUGCAUUGGGGUGAUGUAGAUAUAUAAAUAAACUGUUUAUAAUUUUAAACCAAUUAAUUAUUGUUUAUUUAGUUUGAUCCUUUGAGAGAUUGAAAGAUUAAGAUACUUUAGGGAUAACAGCGUUAUUUUUUCUGAGAGUUCUUAUCGAAGAAAAAGUUUGCGACCUCGAUGUUGAAUUAAAGUUUCUCUGAGGUGUAGCAGCUUCAAGAGAGAGUCUGUUCGACUUUUAAUACUUUACAUGAUUUGAGUUCAGACCGGCGUGAGCCAGG
Molecule: ribosomal RNA, 560 nt
Filed under: Pylopaguridium markhami
Lineage: Eukaryota; Metazoa; Arthropoda; Malacostraca; Decapoda; Paguridae
Description: partial 16S ribosomal RNA
Rfam family: Bacterial large subunit ribosomal RNA
Source: RNAcentral